Molecule: ribosomal RNA, 428 nt
Filed under: uncultured Gaiellales bacterium
Lineage: Bacteria; Bacillati; Actinomycetota; Thermoleophilia; Gaiellales
Description: bacterial SSU rRNA
Rfam family: Bacterial small subunit ribosomal RNA
Source: RNAcentral
UGGGGAAUCUUGCGCAAUGGGCGGAAGCCUGACGCAGCAACGCCGCGUGGGGGAAGAAGGCCUUCGGGUUGUAAACCUCUUUCAGUAGGGACGAAGCUUCCGGGGUUAAUAGCCUACGGGGUGACGGUACCUACAGAAGAAGCCCCGGCUAACUACGUGCCAGCAGCCGCGGUAAUACGUAGGGGGCAAGCGUUGUCCGGAAUCAUUGGGCGUAAAGCGCGUGUAGGCGGCUUGGUAAGUCUGGCGUGAAAUCUUGGAGCUCAACUCCAAGCCUGCGCUGGAUACUGCCUCGCUAGAGUCCGGGAGAGGAAAGCGGAAUUCCCAGUGUAGCGGUGAAAUGCGCAGAUAUUGGGAAGAACACCGAUGGCGAAGGCAGCUUUCUGGAACGGUACUGACGCUGAGACGCGAAAGCGUGGGGAGCAAACAGG